AGUGAACGCUGGCGGUAGGCCUAACACAUGCAAGUCGAACGGCAGCACAGUAAGAGCUUGCUCUUACGGGUGGCGAGUGGCGGACGGGUGAGGAAUACAUCGGAAUCUACUUUUUCGUGGGGGAUAACGUAGGGAAACUUACGCUAAUACCGCAUACGACCUACGGGUGAAAGCAGGGGAUCUUCGGACCUUGCGCGAUUGAAUGAGCCGAUGUCGGAUUAGCUAGUUGGCGGGGUAAAGGCCCACCAAGGCGACGAUCCGUAGCUGGUCUGAGAGGAUGAUCAGCCACACUGGAACUGAGACACGGUCCAGACUCCUACGGGAGGCAGCAGUGGGGAAUAUCGGACAAUGGGCGCAAGCCUGAUCCAGCCAUACCGCGUGGGUGAAGAAGGCCUUCGGGUUGUAAAGCCCUUUUGUUGGGAAAGAAAAGCAGCAGGUUAAUACCCCGCUGUUCUUACGGUACCCAAAGAAUAAGCACCGGCUAACUUCGUG
This 492-nucleotide ribosomal RNA is filed under the name uncultured bacterium. RNAcentral's name for it is "partial 16S ribosomal RNA". It matches the Rfam family "Bacterial small subunit ribosomal RNA", at positions 29 to 507 of the family's 1533-position model. The record is from RNAcentral.